AUCGUGCAUCCCUUUAGAGUGU
RNAcentral lists this microRNA (22 nucleotides) under Gorilla gorilla (western gorilla). RNAcentral describes it as "ggo-miR-517c-3p". Its record names the gene ggo-miR-517c-3p. Lineage: Eukaryota; Metazoa; Chordata; Mammalia; Primates; Hominidae. RNAcentral also lists the same sequence under 5 other names. The record is from miRBase by way of RNAcentral.